CGACACAGCUGACUCAUGAAGAGCAAAGUCACCUCCCUUGCAUAAUGCUCACAAACUGCUUACUGAGAAGUCUGACACAGUGAAGCCGCAGGAGGAGGCGGUGGUUAUUACCCUUACAGGAACCACCACGAUCCAGCCUGUACAUUCUGGUGGUUGUCAUGGCAACAGGGCAGCAUCCGUCUCCAUCUUUUGUCCAGUGUCUCCCCUGUCGUUUUCAGCUUCCCAGGCAGGAGGGGGCUUGGACGACUUUUGCAAAUGGAGCCCCGUAAUUGGCCUCGAAGCGAGAAAGUGGUGGAUGGCUUUCACACGUUGUAAGGAGGUGGCAAACUCCCCACAUCCUGAGAUGGCUUUACAAAUUUCUAGUGGAUGUAGGAGGAAGAGAACACCAAGUGUAGAGCUAAAUUUCCUAGCUAAAGAUCCAUACAUUUCUGUGUAACUAUAUGUUUUUUGACAUGUUCUGACUAUCCAGGUGUCUAAAGGGAUAUAAAAAAAAUAUUGGCACAGGUGGGGUGUUGGGGAAAAGUACAUGGUGUUCCUGUUUGCGUCUGUUAAUGGAGGUUUUUACGAGGAAUUCUUGGCUUCGACCCAGGGCGGAUCAGUUGGGUUCCCCUGUAACUGUGUGGCAGUCAGUGAAUGAGGUUUUGGGGUUUAGGGCGAAAUGAGUGCACAUAUGUACGACGUACUGUAAAACAUAACCCCCACUAUUCCUCCACUAAUGUCUUGCUACUCUGCACAGCAUCUACGCUAUGAAUGUAGGCAGCAAAAUAGCUAUUAUUGUGCCAGAUCAUCCCCAAUUACUUAGCAAUUUUGUUUGUUCCAUACAUUAUGGCAUAGUACAUUCAUAACACAUUUUAAGCAAAUGUUUUUUCUCCCCCCAAGCUAUGCAUUCUGUGACCCCCGCAGAUGUUUGCACGAAACAAAGUUUAAAGGGGGUUUCAGAUUUUGCACAAAAACAAAAAUCAAAACAAAGGCCACACGUGUUGGCUCCAGGUCAAGCAACAUCCCCUGAAACAGGCUUCAACCUGCUCUCAGCUUUAUGAUUGGUUAACUUGUUCCUGGCAGAGCCAAUCAGUGAGCUGACUAAUGUUCUGUUGUGAGGGCAGCUGGGAUGUAGGGGAAAGGUCUCAAAGCAAACGUUGUUACCCUUCCCCCUGCAAGUAGGGAGAGGACAGCACAAGUAAAUGUUUACGUCCUGUGAAAAUGGAGAUGUGUGCUUCCUGUGACAUGUGGUUACAAUGUUUUUCUGUCUGUGGGAAAACAAAGAAUUCCUUCACCGCGUUUAUAUGUGUGCAGUUCUGACUCUGAACUCUCAGUGACUCUUUUUGAGCUGCAAAGUUUGGUCACAAGCAUCACAUGCAGGCACUUUAAAUGUGCAGCUUAAGUAUUAAAGAAAUCCUUAGAUCCACAUUUAUACAGUUAUACUUUGCUAUCAUUCAGCUCAACGAGACAGACUGCACAGCGGUCACCGAGGUCUGAUCUGCUGCUUUUCUGAUUCUGUUUUUUGGUAAAUAACAGGCUCGAGACAAAGCAGGUCUAGUUCACAGCCACAACAAUCUGCAGCGCUGUGUAGUUGUUUACGACUCAGCACUUCUGGGAACACUGGCCUCGGGCUGUUGCAGUGAAGGAGUCUGAUAAGUGUCUCGCGAGUACACCAGUUUCCAGUUACUUCCCACACGGCCCUAAAAAAAACCACACUCCUGUUGAGCUCCUGCCAAGACGUAGAAAAAAAAGAGACAGCAGCCGCAGCCUGAGAUCCUUUUAUGAGAGUCACCUUUGUGUACCCUGCGCUUUACUUCUCCUGUGUGCAGUUCAUAUUAAAAUGCUGAGUCAUCGGCUGUUUAAAUGUGAAACAGUUACGUUAACUUGUACGAAAAUUUGCAUCGCAGUAUUACUGAUUGUCUGCUGCUGUCAUUUUCAUUUGAACGGUAACUCCCCGAGUGUGGAGGUUUAUGAAUCAUUCAGUCUAAAACUAAUGGUUUCACUUUGCAUUUUUGAAAAAUAACUUUUGUUGAGUUAGAUGAGAAAAAAUAUCAAUACAACUCAUCUGUGCAUUAGACACAAGGCUACAGCCGGCAGCCGAUUGGCUUCAUGUAGCUUCAGUAGAAGCAGUCAGCCUGGCUCCUUCCAUCUACCAAUGUAUUAAUUAGUGAGCUUUAGAGGCCGUUGUUCAGAUCCAGGCUUGCCUUUCGUGUUUCCACUGUGCUAAACUAACUGGCUUACAGCCGUGGCCUUGUAUCUAACCAUACAGGCAUGACAGUAGCAUUAUCUCAUGUAACUCCUGUGAGAUGGCAAAUAAAAAAAAAAGCAUAUUUUCCAAACAUGUAGACCCAUUCUUUUAAUCUUUUUCUCUAAAGUCAUGAGUCACACAGCCAUGUUGUGAUAAAAAUAAAAGUUUUUAAAUGUAUCAAUAAAAAACACCGGGUUCAGUAAACUUGACGUUUUACCAAAUCGAGUGCAUUACAAUAUCUCAGUUAACAAAAGGAUAAAACUCCUUGAGGAAAUCUACAAAUGGCAUUAUGGACAGAUCCACCACAUUUUAACAACAUACGUCUGGGUAUAGACAUCUACAAAGUGUACCUACAAGUUGUCAAAAUCAAGUGUGUGCCAAAAUCUGACGACAUCAAACGUUGCCAUUUAAAAAUAGACACUUCAUAAAAGUCAAAGAAUUAGUAACAUUGAAGACUGGACAGUUGAAAGGCAGGUCAACA
Molecule: long non-coding RNA, 2708 nt
Organism: Scophthalmus maximus (turbot)
Lineage: Eukaryota; Metazoa; Chordata; Actinopteri; Pleuronectiformes; Scophthalmidae
Exons: 2
Source: RefSeq, a predicted model, not a curated record